AAGAAAGAAAGAAAGAAAGAAAGAAAGAAAGAAAGAAAAGAAAAGGCGGAAGUUAUUUUCUUUAACAAGUAAAUGGGCAUUUAUAUAAUAAGGUGGCAAAUCAUAUUGGAAGUGAACAUCAUGAAGUUCUCUUUAACUCUGAGGAAGGCUUUCAGGCUCUGGAUGAAGUCAUAUUUUCCUUGGAAACUUACAACAUUACAACAGCUGAUGCUUCAAAUGAGAUAGAAAAACAUCUCCUGAGAGAGACAUUUGAGGACUCCAAUCUGAUACUCAAAGAGAUUCUCUGGUGACCAAAAGAAGUCUUCAGUGAUGGAAUAACUUCAGUUAAGAAUUCCUGGUUUAAGAUUUUACAGAAAUAUGUUGAACAUCAGGUUGAUGAUGCAAUGAUGGCAAAUGCAGCCCAGAAAUUUCCCUUCAAUACUCCUAAAACCAAAGGAUACUACUACCAUCAAAUCCUUGAACACCAUUUCCCAGGCCAGGCUGACUGGCUGAGCCAUUACUGGGUGCCCAAGUGGAUCGAUGCCACUGACCCUUCUGCCCACACACUGACCCACUACAAGUCAGCUGCCAAAGCUUAGGUGCUCUUUAUGCUGUAAUAUGAAAGCAAAUAUUUCUUCUUAUUGUAUGGGGACUAUGGGUAGAUAGGGGAACAAUGAAAGUCAACUCAGGCUAACUUGAAUGUGAAAAAAAUAAAAGUCCUAAAUCUAAAA
Molecule: long non-coding RNA, 710 nt
Filed under: Homo sapiens (human)
Lineage: Eukaryota; Metazoa; Chordata; Mammalia; Primates; Hominidae
Description: HSALNT0346432
Source: RNAcentral